GAUGAACGCUAGCUACAGGCUUAACACAUGCAAGUCGAGCGGUGCAGCAAUGCAUAGCGGCGAACGGGUGAGUAACGCGUAAGCAAUCUCGCCCCCUGUUCGGGAAUAGCCGUGCCAACGCGCGGGUAAUACCGGAUAUCGUGGCCCUGGACAUCCGGGGUUGACAAAAGAUUUAUCGACAGGGGAUGAGCUUGCGUCCGAUUAGCUAGUUGGCGGGGCAACGGCCCACCAAGGCGACGAUCGGUAGCCGGCCUGAGAGGGUGAUCGGCCACAUUGGGACUGAGAUACGGCCCAGACUCC
This 300-nucleotide ribosomal RNA is filed under the name Fibrobacter succinogenes. Its description in RNAcentral is "bacterial SSU rRNA". It matches the Rfam family "Bacterial small subunit ribosomal RNA", at positions 28 to 339 of the family's 1533-position model. The record is from RNAcentral. Lineage: Bacteria; Pseudomonadati; Fibrobacterota; Fibrobacteria; Fibrobacterales; Fibrobacteraceae.